AGUGAACGCUGGCGGUAGGCCUAACACAUGCAAGUCGAACGGCAGCACAGAGGAGCUUGCUCCUUGGGUGGCGAGUGGCGGACGGGUGAGGAAUACAUCGGAAUCUACUCUGUCGUGUGGGAUAACGUAGGGAAACUUACGCUAAUACCGCAUACGACCUACGGGUGAAAGCAGGGGAUCUUCGGACCUUGCGCGAUUGAAUGAGCCGAUGUCGGAUUAGCUAGUUGGCGGGGUAAAGGCCCACCAAGGCGACGAUCCGUAGCUGGUCUGAGAGGAUGAUCAGCCACACUGGAACUGAGACACGGUCCAGACUCCUACGGGAGGCAGCAGUGGGGAAUAUUGGACAAUGGGCGCAAGCCUGAUCCAGCCAUACCGCGUGGGUGAAGAAGGCCUUCGGGUUGUAAAGCCCUUUUGUUGGGAAAGGAAUCCAUCUGGUUAAUACCCGGGUGGGAUGACGGUACCCAAAGAAUAAGCACCGGCUAACUUCGUGCCAGCCGCCGCGGUAA
This 506-nucleotide ribosomal RNA is filed under the name uncultured bacterium. RNAcentral describes it as "partial 16S ribosomal RNA". It matches the Rfam family "Bacterial small subunit ribosomal RNA", at positions 29 to 523 of the family's 1533-position model. The record is from RNAcentral.